UACGUAGGGAGCAAGCGUUGUUCGGAUUUACUGGGCGUAAAGGGCGCGUAGGCGGCUUGACAAGUCACUUGUGAAAUCUCUGGGCUUAACCCAGAACGGCCAAGUGAUACUGUCGCGCUAGAGUGCGGAAGGGGCAAUCGGAAUUCUCGGUGUAGCGGUGAAAUGCGUAGAUAUCGAGAGGAACACCUGAGGUGAAGACGGGUUGCUGGGCCGACACUGACGCUGAGGAGCGAAAGCGUGGGGAGCGAACAGG
This 253-nucleotide ribosomal RNA is filed under the name uncultured bacterium. Its description in RNAcentral is "partial 16S ribosomal RNA". It matches the Rfam family "Bacterial small subunit ribosomal RNA", at positions 524 to 776 of the family's 1533-position model. The record is from RNAcentral.